UACGGAGGGGACUAGCGUUGUUCGGAAUUACUGGGCGUAAAGCGCGCGUAGGCGGAUUUGCAAGUCGGGGGUGAAAGCCCGAGGCUCAACCUCGGAACUGCCCUCGAUACUGCAAAUCUCGAGUCCGAGAGAGGUGAGUGGAAUUCCUAGUGUAGAGGUGAAAUUCGUAGAUAUUAGGAAGAACACCAGUGGCGAAGGCGGCUCACUGGCUCGGUACUGACGCUGAGGCGCGAAAGCGUGGGAAGCAAACAGG
RNAcentral lists this ribosomal RNA (253 nucleotides) under uncultured bacterium. RNAcentral describes it as "partial 16S ribosomal RNA". It matches the Rfam family "Bacterial small subunit ribosomal RNA", at positions 524 to 776 of the family's 1533-position model. The record is from RNAcentral.